RNAcentral lists this long non-coding RNA (295 nucleotides) under Theropithecus gelada (gelada). RNAcentral describes it as "lncRNA (ENSTGEG00000018194.1)". The record is from RNAcentral. Lineage: Eukaryota; Metazoa; Chordata; Mammalia; Primates; Cercopithecidae.
GAGCAGAGUAUACCGCAGACAUCAUUUCUACUACAGUGGCGGAGCCGUACAGGACCUGUUUCACUGCAGGGGGAUCCAAAACAAGCCCCGUGGAGCAGCAGCCAGAGCAACAGCAGCCGCAAGACAUUGUUUCUCUCCCUCUGCCCCCCCUUCCCCACGCAACCCCAGAUCCAUUUACACUUUACACAUACUGGAGCAUAGUGGAAGAGUCUAUUUUGAAGCUUCAAACGUAGUGCUGCUGCAGACCAGGAACAAGAGAGAAAGAGUGGAUUUCAGCCUGCACGGAUGGUCUUGA